Molecule: ribosomal RNA, 260 nt
Filed under: uncultured bacterium
Lineage: Bacteria
Description: partial 16S ribosomal RNA
Rfam family: Bacterial small subunit ribosomal RNA
Source: RNAcentral
AGUGGCGGACGGGUGAGUAACGCGUGGGCAACCUACCCCACACAGGGGGACAACAGUUGGAAACGACUGCUAAUACCGCAUAGGCGCACAGCUUCGCAUGAAGCAGUGUGGAAAACCGAGGUGGUGUGGGAUGGGCCCGCGUCUGAUUAGCUGGUUGGCGGGGUAACGGCCCACCAAGGCGACGGUCAGUAGCCGGCCUGAGAGGGUGGACGGCCACAUUGGGACUGAGACACGGCCCAAACUCCUACGGAAGGCAGCAG